RNAcentral lists this long non-coding RNA (1043 nucleotides) under Notechis scutatus (mainland tiger snake). RNAcentral describes it as "lncRNA (ENSNSUG00000009712.1)". The record is from RNAcentral. Lineage: Eukaryota; Metazoa; Chordata; Lepidosauria; Squamata; Elapidae.
CGGCUUUGUAACGGAGAUGAGCAUCGCACCCUAGAGCCGGAAACGACUAGCAAGUAUUAUGUGCGAAGGGAACCUUUUCCUUUACCUAAGGUGUAAUGAAGGAGUUGGACCACAUCAGGGGUGUCAACUCAAAGCAAAGGGGCCGGAUCUUGCCCACAGGGUGCUUAGAUCUGGUCCACGGGACUGGCCUGGAAACAGCAAAGGACCAGCCCACGGUGUCUCUGCCAGUAAAAACAGAACUCAAGUUUCGGCUGCAACGGCCUCUUGCAACCCACUGCCAGCGAAAAUGGGGCCCGGGAGGAGGGGGCUGCAUGUGGCACCUCCCGAGCUCCGUUUUUGCUGGCAGAGGGCUAUCAAAACAAACUUUAAAACAAAACAAAAGGAGAAAUGUUUCCCCUUUUGCAUUUGAGCAUGCAAGAAGGGACAGGAAAGGAGAGAGGAAAAGAGGAAAGACAAAGAGAAAGAAGGGAAGGUGGGAAGAGAGCAAGGAAGGAAAAAUCAGGAAAGAGGGGAAGGAAGAAGAACGGAGAAUGAAGAGGGAAGGGAAAAGAAGAAAAGGAAGGGAAGAUGGGAAGAGAGCGAGGAAGGAAAAAGGAAAGGGGAAGGAAGGAGAAAGGAGAAUGAAGAGUGAAAGAAAAGAGAAGGGAAGGAAGGAAGGAAGGAAGGAAGGAAGGAAGGAAGGAAGGAAGGAAGGANNNNNNNNNNGGAAGGAAGGAAGGAAGGAAGGAAGGAAGGAAGGAAGGAAGGAAGGAGAGAUAAUGAGAGUGAAGGAGGGUCUCAGGGAAGUCCUGCAUUAGCACUUGGCCACCACAGGUGCCCCCAACACGAGUCCUGUGCCAUGCCCCAUCAUGGCCACGCCCAUGCCUGGCCACGCCCACCAUGCGCCCCCCCCCCCGGCCCACCAAGGUCAAACACAACCCUGAUGCUCCCCUCAAUGAAAUCAAGUUUGACACCCCAGACCACAUAAUGUCUUAUGGAAAAGAUGGGUUUGAAGAACUACUGGGGUGGGGGUGGGGGAAUGAGACAGAAAUAAACCAUGGUUU